This 619-nucleotide ribosomal RNA is filed under the name Staphylococcus aureus. RNAcentral describes it as "partial 23S ribosomal RNA". It matches the Rfam family "Bacterial large subunit ribosomal RNA", at positions 2284 to 2904 of the family's 2925-position model. The record is from RNAcentral. Lineage: Bacteria; Bacillati; Bacillota; Bacilli; Caryophanales; Staphylococcaceae.
CGCCUCCUAAAAGGUAACGGAGGCGCUCAAAGGUUCCCUCAGAAUGGUUGGAAAUCAUUCAUAGAGUGUAAAGGCAUAAGGGAGCUUGACUGCGAGACCUACAAGUCGAGCAGGGUCGAAAGACGGACUUAGUGAUCCGGUGGUUCCGCAUGGAAGGGCCAUCGCUCAACGGAUAAAAGCUACCCCGGGGAUAACAGGCUUAUCUCCCCCAAGAGUUCACAUCGACGGGGAGGUUUGGCACCUCGAUGUCGGCUCAUCGCAUCCUGGGGCUGUAGUCGGUCCCAAGGGUUGGGCUGUUCGCCCAUUAAAGCGGUACGCGAGCUGGGUUCAGAACGUCGUGAGACAGUUCGGUCCCUAUCCGUCGUGGGCGUAGGAAAUUUGAGAGGAGCUGUCCUUAGUACGAGAGGACCGGGAUGGACAUACCUCUGGUGUACCAGUUGUCGUGCCAACGGCAUAGCUGGGUAGCUAUGUGUGGACGGGAUAAGUGCUGAAAGCAUCUAAGCAUGAAGCCCCCCUCAAGAUGAGAUUUCCCAACUUCGGUUAUAAGAUCCCUCAAAGAUGAUGAGGUUAAUAGGUUCGAGGUGGAAGCAUGGUGACAUGUGGAGCUGACGAAUACUAA